ACUUUUGAUCUUGUUGACAACUUGAGAAUCAAAAGUUUCCGAAUGUUGCCUUAGCUACAUGGUCCGCACAUCCACCAUCAGCAUCCACAAUAAAGCACAAUCAUGGGAGCAUCCAUGUUCGUGAUAGCUUGCCCAUGAUGAGACUAUAUUUUCCUUUAGCUACAAGGUAAAUCUCUUUUGCCUUGGCCAACCCAACUACAAAUGUGAUGAAAGACAUGAUACCUCGUAACCAGUGGCCAUAGCUUGUUGAAUUCAGAAUGGUGGCGAGUUUAACACAAAACAGUUUGG
This 288-nucleotide long non-coding RNA is filed under the name Brassica napus (rape). RNAcentral's name for it is "long non-coding RNA (BNAP_LNC023712)". The record is from RNAcentral. Lineage: Eukaryota; Viridiplantae; Streptophyta; Magnoliopsida; Brassicales; Brassicaceae.